UAUUGCACAAUGGGCGAAAGCCUGAUGCAGCAACGCCGCGUGAGGGAUGACGGCUUUCGGGUUGUAAACCUCUUUUAGAAGGGAAGAAGCGUAAGUCACGGUACCUUCAGAAAACGCACCGGCUAACUACGUGCCAGCAGCCGCGGUAAUACGUAGGGUGCAAGCGUUGUCCGGAAUUAUUGGGCGUAAAGAGCUCGUAGGCGGUUUGUCGCGUCUGCUGUGAAAUCCCGAGGCUCAACCUCGGGCUUGCAGUGGGUACGGGCAGACUAGAGUGCGGUAGGGGAGAUUGGAAUUCCUGGUGUAGCGGUGGAAGGCGCAGAUAUCAGGAGGAACACCGAUGGCGAAGGAAGAUCUCUGGGCCGUAACUGACGCUGAGGAGCGAAAGCGUGGGGAGCGAACAG
RNAcentral lists this ribosomal RNA (401 nucleotides) under uncultured bacterium. RNAcentral describes it as "bacterial SSU rRNA". It matches the Rfam family "Bacterial small subunit ribosomal RNA", at positions 362 to 775 of the family's 1533-position model. The record is from RNAcentral.